This 5578-nucleotide long non-coding RNA is filed under the name Panax ginseng (ginseng). RNAcentral's name for it is "long non-coding RNA (PGIN_LNC009287)". The record is from RNAcentral. Lineage: Eukaryota; Viridiplantae; Streptophyta; Magnoliopsida; Apiales; Araliaceae.
UAUUAUUUCUCAUCUGUCAGAAAAUACAAGGGUUUUAUUUUUAAUACCAUCUACUGUUUGAGGCUUAGAGCAAUGUGUGCAACUGUUGGAGAAAAGUAAACUCUUCUAUGCAUAAUAUAAUAGAGCUUCAUCAGGCAGCACUCCCAAGCCAAACUUUUCUAAACUCUACCCAAAUAAUAACGACUCUGCCAUCAGUCAUGGACUCACGCAAAUUCGCGACUCUGCCCAUCACCUCAUAACAUUUCUAAACUCUACCCAAAUAAUAACAAGUCAAAAAUUUGCAACAGCAGUCAUGGACUCACGCAAAUUCGCGAGCUGGAAACAAGUAGAAGAAGAGAAGAAACAAGUAAAAGAGAAGAAUACCUGUCAGUCGUCGGCUCGUCGCUGGAGCAGUCACCGGACUCGCGAACUGGAGCAGUCACCGAACUCGCUCGCUGGAGUCACCGAGUCAGUCGAGAAGAGUAGAAGGAAAAGGAACGAGCAACAGGUCGUAUUCUCUUUCGGACAGCCACGAUUCACGAACUAGGUAAGCUCUAUCGUUUCUCGUUUCUCCCUAUCGUGUCUCGUCGAAGUCUAUCGUGUCUCGUCGAAGUCGUCGAACUGUCGAAGGUCUGAAGGUUGUGAGGAAAUUGAUCGAUUAGGAGUUUAAGUUUAUAAAUUGGUUCGGGUCAAACCCGCUUCAAAAAGUCGCCCGAUUUUCCAGUUAGUCGUCCUAGUCGUCCGGUAAGCGUCCAAGUCGUCCACGUCGACGCCUGAGCGGUCGACUAUGUGCUAUGUUACCAAGUCGUCCUACCGACUUGAAUUUUCUGGUCGACUCGAGGCGACGACUAGUCGACGACUUGACAACCAUGCAUCUCAUUGAGUAGAAAAACUGGUGAAUUCAAAUUUAUAGAGAGAUCUAACUAGCAAAGUAAUCCACAAGUCGGAUCUGAACUAGAAGAUCACCUGAUUUAGUUGUUCCAUCAAUGAACCCAUCCUUCUUGAUUCUCUCCAAAAAGUUUUUACCCAAACGACUGUCCAAGCCUCUCUGCAGAUGAUAGCAGGCAGAAAGAUUGACAACCGUGUGAACAUCAUGAUAUUUAGAUGCAUAAAGAAGUACCACAUUCCCUCCUGCAAGGAUCACACUAAGAAAUAUAAGACUUUGCAGAUAAUAUAUGUCAUUAAAAACUAAUUGGUUUUCCAACUUAAUUUCAAGAUGUACUUGUCAAACAAAAUUAUAAACUGGCAAAGCUAAUAACAAAAGGCCAACAGUAAGUCCAUUCAAAAAGAAAGUUUCCCAUCCACCUCUUAAAUACUUGUGUAAUCAAGAAUCAAGAUAACUACAUUUUACUAUUUUGUGCAGUUACCUUAUUCUACAACCCGAACAUAAAAAUAUAUGCGGGCACUUAUGAUUAAGAUUAAGAUAAAGAUAAAGGUGGGUUUGAUUUUGGAAACUGCCUGUGGAAUUGUGGAUAGGAUUUAUAUAUAAACCUAACAUAUGGGGGUUCUAAACCUGAUAAGAAUUGGAUAAAUACCGGUAGUCUAAACAUGGAUUUUAAUCAGUAAAGAAGACAUACAAAUACAAAGUGAAAAAGAGUAAAAGCUAAACAUAUAUAAAGGCAGGAUGCUGCCCCAUCAAAUCCUGAUACAAUCUCAUGUAUAUUAGUUAUGUGAGAACUGAAUUUUCCUUUCUUAAUUAUGGAUAACUUUUUAUUAUAGUAUUAGAUCACAUACCUUUACUAUGCCCAAGAAUUGCAGUUACUACACGGUUCUUUCCAUUAAAAUGUUCAAUUACAGCUCGCAAAUCUUCAUCCUGUCUCCAAUAAUUACCAUACUCAAAUGAGCCUUCACUUUCCCUGGAAAGCAAAUGUCUUAAUAAACAACAAAGUAACUAAAACUUGCAAUUUAAAUAUGAUCUCAACUCUCAAGACUGACAUUUGGAGCAAUAGCAAAUACGAUAAAAAAAUUACACCAAAUUUGCUGCAAUGGAAAAGAAUAAUGUGCAUGCUACAAUGCAAAAUGCAAAGAAAUAAUCCGUGCGCUAUGGUGCAGACAGCAACAAGUUUAAAUGGAAUUCAUAAUUAUAUAUGGUAUAUCAUAAUCACAUAUAUGGUACAACUCAUAUCAGCAUUGUACUUUUGGACCCAAUUUUACUACCUCCAUACCAUUGAACUAUACGCUUAGAACACUUUCCAAAAAUAAUUAUACAACAGUUGUGCUUAGGUGUGUACUCUAAACCAACCAGAAAUAUCAUUUUUGUUAUCCAUACAAUACCAUAAACUUACCCAUUUCCAGCAAAAUCAAAGCGGAACACCCUAAUCCCUUCCUUUUCUAAAGCAACAACAAGGCUCACCAAAACAUUGUAUUCCUGAAAAUAGACGUGCAUUAUUUACUUAAUAAUUUAGGGUUAAAGAAAAUUAUUACUAUUAGAAGAGAUAAAGUUCAAAAGAAGAGCGAUUAGGCAAAUCGUAGAGGUAAAAGUAGAACAAAACAUUGAACAAAAAUAAAUAAUAAUAAUAAAAAACGGGUGCAGCUAUACAAUCCCUAUGCAAGUCCAAAAUCAUAAGACUACAAUAGGCUCCUAUAACAGAAGACCACAGUCAGGCAGGCAAUCAACAUAACUUUCUCUCUCAAAAGAUGAAAUUUCGAAGACCACAGUCAGGCUAAUAAACUUCUUUCUCGAAAAUUUCGAGUUACGCCACAGCGUUUAUUUGAGGAGAGAUGAAAUCUCUAAUAAAAGUUUUUUGAGAAAAAGACUUAAAAACACUAUUUUCUUUUCGUUUUUUCGAAUUUUCAAAUUAUGACAGCGUUUAUUCGGGAAAUGGGGUAAAAAGUGAAAUAAAUUUUUUUACGAAAGGUGAAAGUCGGUUUUUUAACCGAAAAAAGUUAAAAAACCUAACUAGAAAAGAAAAUGACUAAUUAAAUUUAGUUGAACUAAUUAAGCCUAGGAUUUUAAAGGCUUGGUUAGUUGGUUAGGGUUUGGAUGGCUCAGCUAGGCUUGAGCCGAGGGUUGAGUCAAGGUUGAGCCUAGGGUUGGUGUGACUUGGCUAGAGUUGGAGCUAAGGCUCAAACUUAGGGUUACUUGGAGUCAAAGCAAGUGGAGGGACAUGUGUCACUUAAUAGCAAUUAAGCAUGUGGGAGAAAUGAAAAAUAAAAAGGGAUGAGCAAUGGGGAAGAACCGGGCAUAAAGGAGGAGGGGACCAAGAGGGGACAAAGGGGAUGGAAACUUACCAUUUAUAAUAAGUUUUAGUCUUAGAAAACAAAGCAUUAAAUGCUUGUCUACCCUUUAACUUCUCUUAACCCCUAAGUCUUUAGUAAGUCAUCAUCUCUUUUCAUUUCAUUUCCUUUGUUGCUAAGUAAAAGAAGCUCAAGAGAACCCACGAAUUGGAGAAGGAGGAAGGUGAAAGGAGAAGAAGAAGUCUAGCAAGCUUGAAUAAUCUAGCUAAGAAGAAGAGUAAAGAAGGUAAACAUCACACCCUAACCCUUUUAUUCAUCCAUUCUUUUCUUUUUAAGCUUAUAAAUUGCUUUGUUGGUGGUUGUUGGUUUAUGAAAGAUCGUGAAGGAUCUUGGAGUUAUAAAGGAGUGGUUAUAAUGUUUAUAACUGUAAACUACCGGUAAAUGCCAUGAAAAGUGGAACAAAAUAACAAAAACACAAAACCUAUGCGUAAAGGAUAGAAAAAUUCAAUUAGUGGACUGUUUUGGACGAAUUUUGUGUGGUGUCCCAAAUCUGAAAAUUUAGUUAUAGGGUGUUGUAUUAUGCUCUUAUGAGUAAAGAUCAUCACCCAAUUGGAAUGAAGGCAACAGCUUUUGUAACGAAGUAAUGGCGAUUUUUUUUAAAACUAGUCGGAAAAAGCUAAAAACAGUGUGAACACUGACUUUUGGGACGUUUUUCUGAGUCGUCGGAGUUUCUGGAAAUAUUUUCUUUUCUGGGGAUUGUGUAGUACGUAGAACAAUGAAUCUGUAGGCUCAAGAACGAGUUCAAUCCUACUUCGGAUAAGUGAGUUACGAAAAUUUGAAGGUUUGACGUUAAAAAUGUCAUUUAGUGAAGAAAAACAGACUCACGAAUUCGUGAUUUUUGAGCUAAUUUUUCGGCUAGUUAGAGAAUCAAAAAAAUGAUUCCGUCAAAGGAAAGUUGUAGAGAAUGUUACGAGCUUGAAUAUGGCUCAAGAAUGGACUCAUUCCGAUAACGGAUGGCCGAAUUAUGACGUUGCAAAGUAGGUACGAUGAACACGAAAAAUUGUUGUUCCUGACCUCAGGUGCAAUAGGUUUGUGCACCUAAAGCAGACACGUCAAGAACAGUAUGUUUUGGUCUAAAGCAGACACCCCAAGCAAAUGAGUUAUGUUGUCUGCUUUACACCUGUAGCGAAAGAUGUUAAAGAAAAUUUAGUCGCAUUGAUUAAAUCAUAAAAUGCGAACAUGAAAUAAGAAGUAAAGUGAAUGUAAACCGUAAUUAUCAUCUUUGCAUGACUAAUUGAUACGUGUAUAUGAAUUUAAAUAUGUAGGAUAUUUGAAGGACGAGUAAAGUAGACGUAUAACGAGCGCUUAAGGCAAGUUUUCUAACUCCAUUCAAAAUGCAAGUUUCCUAACUUGUGCAAAUUUAUUUUAUAUUUGUGCAAGUUUCUUAUGUUAUGCAAGUAUCUUAACUCCAUUCAAUUUUGUACAUUGAAUGUUAGUUACCUUUAAUCUUGUGCAAUAUUUUGUGUACAAGCUUCGAUGUUCGUUUGAUUAUGCUAAUUUGACUAUGUUCAUAUGACCAUUUCGUAUGUGUGAUUCGUAUGUUUGAUUUUGAUUAUGCAAUACUUAUAUAUUGUGUGAAUCUCUAACUUAUGCAAAUCUUUUAGUAUUUGUCUAAGUUGUUCAAGCUUUGCUAUAAUGCAUGUUGAUGAAGUUUUUAUGUUCUAAUAUUCAUGAACUAUUUAGAAGAAUGUCAAUGCCAAUUGUAACGGCUUGACGCGCAUGUAAAAUUCUUUGUUGAUUUGAAAAUAAAUAUCUUAGAAGUAUUAUUGAUGUUAGGUAAAGCUAUCCAUCCUAAAUUGUUUCGGUGCGGAUUCAGAUUCAAAUCUGAGAUGAACAACCCUAUAUUAGGUAUUUUACGUGGAAAAAUCCCGACAAACCCCUGAGGUAGUUAAACAAAUGCAUAUAGUCAUUUUAUGUACAAUGAGUUGAUCACCUAAAGUACCCAGAUGAAAACUAAUCGGUUUAUAGUUGAACUACUAUUAAACCAAUUAACCAGAUGAAAAAGUUCGUGACCGCUCAUUAUGUCGUUUCAAAAAAAUUUGUUUAACGAGAAGCUUUGUUAUUCAAGAUGAUUUGAAGUGCCUUCAUAACUAUUGAUCAGUUGUUGAAGUUUGAAGUAUAAAAGAUGUUUGAUUCUUGAUGUUGAUGUUGUUAUUCAUUGUGAAUACUUACUGAGCAAUUGAAUGCUUACCCUUGCUUGAAAUAAAUUCUUUUCAGUAGAGCCAAAGAGACCCAGAGAUUCGGGUAAGGAAAAAAGAAAGCAGAAGAUGAAUGAGUAGACGAAUAUUACUGUUUGUAAUAAUUAGAAGGAUUGUAUUAAUAUUCUAUACAAUAUCAUGUAUUAAAGAUUUAAGGUCUGAGA